GCCAGCAGCUAUAUAACUUAGCAACCCACUGAAGCUAAGUAGGCAUGAGCCUGGCCAGUACCUGGAUGGGAGACCUCCUGAGAAAGCUAAGGUUGCUGCUGGAA
RNAcentral lists this ribosomal RNA (104 nucleotides) under Lepisosteus oculatus (spotted gar). The record is from RNAcentral. Lineage: Eukaryota; Metazoa; Chordata; Actinopteri; Semionotiformes; Lepisosteidae.